CGAACGAGGUAGCAAUACCGAGUGGCGAACGGGUAGAGUAACACGUAGGUAACCUGCCUUAAGCUUGGGAUACCCAGAGGAAACUUGGCUAAUACCGGAUAACAACAGAGAAGGCAUCUUCUUUGCUUGAAAGGCCCUUCAAGGGUCACUUAAGGAUGGACCUGCGGCGCAUUAGCUAGUUGGUGAGAUAACAGCCCACCAAGGCGAGGAUGCGUAGCCGAACUGAGAGGUUGAUCGGCCACAUUGGAACUGAGACACGGUCCAAACUCCUACGGGAGGCAGCAGUAAGGAGUUUUCGGCAAUGGGGGAAACCCUGACCGAGCAACGCCGCGUGAGCGAUGACGGUCCUUUGGGAAUUGUAAAGCUCUGUUGUAAGCCAUGAAUGACAGCUUGAGGAAAUGCAAGUUGUUUGACGACAGCUUACCAGAAAGCCACGGCUAACUACGUGCCAGCCGCCGC
This 459-nucleotide ribosomal RNA is filed under the name uncultured bacterium. RNAcentral describes it as "bacterial SSU rRNA". It matches the Rfam family "Bacterial small subunit ribosomal RNA", at positions 63 to 518 of the family's 1533-position model. The record is from RNAcentral.